RNAcentral lists this ribosomal RNA (165 nucleotides) under uncultured bacterium. Its description in RNAcentral is "partial 16S rRNA". It matches the Rfam family "Bacterial small subunit ribosomal RNA", at positions 355 to 511 of the family's 1533-position model. The record is from RNAcentral.
UAGGGAAUCUUCCACAAUGGGCGCAAGCCUGAUGGAGCAACACCCGCGUGAGUGAAGAAGGGUUUCGGCUCGUAAAGCUCUGUUGUUAAAGAAGAACACGUAUGAGAGUAACUGUUCAUACGUUGACGGUAUUUAACCAGAAAGUCACGGCUAACUACGUGCUAG